This 323-nucleotide ribosomal RNA is filed under the name uncultured bacterium. RNAcentral's name for it is "bacterial SSU rRNA". It matches the Rfam family "Bacterial small subunit ribosomal RNA", at positions 29 to 379 of the family's 1533-position model. The record is from RNAcentral.
AACGAACGCUGGCGGCAUGCCUAACACAUGCAAGUCGAACGAGACCUUCGGGUCUAGUGGCGCACGGGUGCGUAACGCGUGGGAAUCUGCCCUUAGGUACGGAAUAACUCAGGGAAACUUGAGCUAAUACCGUAUAAUGACUCCGGUCCAAAGAUUUAUCGCCUAAGGAUGAGCCCGCGUCGGAUUAGCUAGUUGGUGAGGUAAAAGCUCACCAAGGCGACGAUCCGUAGCGGUCUGAGAGGAUGAUCAGCCACACUGGGACUGAGACACGGCCAAACUCCUACGGGAGGCAGCAGUGGGGAAGUAAUUGGACAAUGGGCGGC